AACGAACGCUGGCGGCGUGGAUUAGGCAUGCAAGCGAACGCGAAAGAGGGGGCAACCCCUCGAGUAGAGUGGCGAACGGGUGAGUAACGCGUGAAGAACCUGCCUUCAACAGGGGGAUAACACUCCCAACGGGGUGCUAAUACCGCAUGAGACCACGGGUUCGCAUGGACCUGAGGUCAAAGGUGGCCUCUGCUUGCAAGCUACCGGUUGAAGAUGGCUUCGCGUCCCAUUAGCUAGUUGGUGGUGUAACGGACCACCAAGGCAACGAUGGGUAGCUGGUCUGAGAGGAUGGUCAGCCACACUGGGACUGAGAUACGGCCCAGACUCCUACGGGAGGCAGCAGUCGAGAGGCUUCGGCAAUGGGGGAAACCCUGACCGAGCGACGCCGCGUGGAGGAUGAAGGCCCCUGGGUUGUAAACUCCUUUUGCUGGGGAAGAAACGCGGUCUGGUGAACAACCUGGCCGUUUGACGGUACCCGGCGAAUAAGCUCCGGCUAACUCCGUG
This 504-nucleotide ribosomal RNA is filed under the name uncultured bacterium. Its description in RNAcentral is "bacterial SSU rRNA". It matches the Rfam family "Bacterial small subunit ribosomal RNA", at positions 29 to 507 of the family's 1533-position model. The record is from RNAcentral.